GCAAGCCAUUAGCUCUUUAAAAUUACAUGGAACUGGGUAAAAAAAAUAUGGAUAGGACUUAAAAUUAUUUUAAAACAUGUUUUUAUGUUUUUUAGGACAUUGGGUAAAAGUUGGGGUGUAUUCAUAGUAGCUAUUUUUGUAGCCAGAGAGAUGGCAAAUGCAGAAGCAGAACAAGCUAUCGAGGCAGCAGCCCAGAAAGUCAUUCCAACAUAAAUGUUUUACAG
This 224-nucleotide long non-coding RNA is filed under the name Mytilus galloprovincialis (Mediterranean mussel). The record is from RNAcentral. Lineage: Eukaryota; Metazoa; Mollusca; Bivalvia; Mytilida; Mytilidae.